This 751-nucleotide ribosomal RNA is filed under the name uncultured Actinomyces sp. Its description in RNAcentral is "bacterial SSU rRNA". It matches the Rfam family "Bacterial small subunit ribosomal RNA", at positions 28 to 776 of the family's 1533-position model. Lineage: Bacteria; Bacillati; Actinomycetota; Actinomycetes; Actinomycetales; Actinomycetaceae. The record is from RNAcentral.
GACGAACGCGGGCGGCGUGCUUAACACAUGCAAGUCGAACGCUGAAGCCUAGCUUUUGUGGGUGGAUGAGUGGCGAACGGGUGAGUAACACGUGAGUAACCUGCCCCCUUCUUUGGGAUAACGCCCGGAAACGGGUGCUAAUACUGGAUACUCACUGAUCUUCGCAUGGGGGUUGGUGGAAAGGUUUUUUCUGGUGGGGGAUGGGCUCGCGGCCUAUCAGCUUGUUGGUGGGGUGAUGGCCUACCAAGGCUUUGACGGGUAGCCGGCCUGAGAGGGUGACCGGUCACAUUGGGACUGAGAUACGGCCCAGACUCCUACGGGAGGCAGCAGUGGGGAAUAUUGCACAAUGGGCGAAAGCCUGAUGCAGCGACGCCGCGUGAGGGAUGGAGGCCUUCGGGCUGUAAACCUCUUUCGCUCAUGGUCAAGCCGCAACAUUGGUUGUGGUGAGGGUAGUGGGUAAAGAAGCGCCGGCUAACUACGUGCCAGCAGCCGCGGUAAUACGUAGGGCGCGAGCGUUGUCCGGAAUUAUUGGGCGUAAAGGGCUUGUAGGCGGUUGGUCGCGUCUGCCGUGAAAUCCUCUGGCUUAACUGGGGGCGUGCGGUGGGUACGGGCUGACUUGAGUGCGGUAGGGGAGACUGGAACUCCUGGUGUAGCGGUGGAAUGCGCAGAUAUCAGGAAGAACACCGGUGGCGAAGGCGGGUCUCUGGGCCGUUACUGACGCUGAGGAGCGAAAGCGUGGGGAGCGAACAGG